AUGCACGCUGGCGGCGUGCCUAAUACAUGCAAGUCGAGCGAACAGAUGAGGAGCUUGCUCCUCUGACGUUAGCGGCGGACGGGUGAGUAACACGUGGAUAACCUACCUAUAAGACUGGGAUAACUUCGGGAAACCGGAGCUAAUACCGGAUAAUAUAUUGAACCGCAUGGUUCAAUAGUGAAAGACGGUUUUGCUGUCACUUAUAGAUGGAUCCGCGCCGCAUUAGCUAGUUGGUAAGGUAACGGCUUACCAAGGCAACGAUGCGUAGCCGACCUGAGAGGGUGGUCGGCCACACUGGAACUGAGACACGGUCCAGACUCCUACGGGGGGCAGCAGUAGGGAAUCUUCCGCAAUGGGCGAGAGCCUGACGGAGCAACGCCGCGUGAGUGAUGAAGGUCUUCGGAUCGUAAAACUCUGUUAUUAGGGAAGAACAAAUGUGUAAGUAGCUAUGCACGUCUUGACGGUACCUAAUCAGAAAGCCACGGCUAACUACGUG
RNAcentral lists this ribosomal RNA (496 nucleotides) under uncultured bacterium. Its description in RNAcentral is "partial 16S ribosomal RNA". It matches the Rfam family "Bacterial small subunit ribosomal RNA", at positions 29 to 507 of the family's 1533-position model. The record is from RNAcentral.